This 489-nucleotide ribosomal RNA is filed under the name uncultured Glomus. RNAcentral's name for it is "SSU rRNA". It matches the Rfam family "Eukaryotic small subunit ribosomal RNA", at positions 602 to 1094 of the family's 1831-position model. The record is from RNAcentral. Lineage: Eukaryota; Fungi; Glomeromycota; Glomeromycetes; Glomerales; Glomeraceae.
UAUUAAAGUUGUUGCAGUUAAAAAGCUCGUAGUUGAAUUUCGGGAUCAAGUCGUCGGUCGUGCUCAGGUACGUACUGGCGUCAUUGAUUUCUCCCUUCUGACGAACCAUGAUGUCAUUAAUUUGGUGUUAUGGGAAAUCAGGACUGUUACUUUGAAAAAAUUAGAGUGUUUAAAGCAGGCUCACGCUUGAAUACAUUAGCAUGGAAUAAUGAAAUAGGACGUUCGAUCCUAUUUUGUUGGUUUUAGGAUCAACGUAAUGAUUAAUAGGGAUAGUUGGGGGCAUUAGUAUUCAAUUGUCAGAGGUGAAAUUCUUGGAUUUAUUGAAGACUAACUACUGCGAAAGCAUUUGCCAAGGAUGUUUUCAUUAAUCAAGAACGAAAGUUAGGGGAUCGAAGACGAUCAGAUACCGUCGUAGUCUUAACCAUAAACUAUGCCGACUAGGGAUCGGAUGAUGUUAAUUUUUUAAUGACUCAUUCGGCGCCUUACGGG